GAUGAGUUACUACUAUCGUUACUAAAAUGUUAUUCCGAUGGGAACUAGGUAUGCAACCAACUUUACAAGCACUCGUAUUAGAGGUUGCAGUUGAUAGACGAUAAAGUUGGUAAUAUCUGGUAGAUUAGAGUCUAGCAGUUGGCAAUGACGAUAUCCGGCAGGGGUGUAUGUCAUAUCGGCCAUAGCGGCUGGCACUUCACUUGAAUUUUCGUUCUUGUCCGAUCAAGAAGUCCUCCGGUGGCCAUUGUAAGAAUUUACCUUUUGGUUGAAAUAAGUUAUAAGAAGAUUAAUUUACGUUGGAGGAAGUUUUUAUUUUUUUUGUUUGGGGUUGUGAAGAGUUUUUGGUUCCAAUAUUUUUUGAAGAAAACAAUGGCCACUGGAGGGAGACUAUAACAAAAUUUAAGUCACAUUUGGAUGCUUCAUUUAUUUAUGGAAUAAACAAUCAUUUUGGUAUUAUUUUGGGUUUGGAUUGGAAGAGUUUUGGAUGUUUUUUUUUCUCGUUUCUGGAAUAGACACUAAGUUCUAUCGACACUAGCAAGUACCUCCUCGUCAAUACUCUGUGUUGCUGUUCCUUACCUCCCGAGGAUUGGGAAGAUCGGAGGAUACGUACCUGGCUCUCUCAUCAUCAACCUCACCAGGAUUUUGGAGAAGCCACAGGCCUACUUUUGUAGAAACGCCAGGUUUUUAUAAUAAAAUUUGAAUUUUCAAUCCUUUUAAAUAAUAGUUUUCAAUUUUCAAUUUUUUUUCAAUAACUCAAAUACAUAACCUUAAUAAUAAUAUAAAUUCACCUUCUUAAACCCUAUUAUCUUUAUAAUAUUCAAUAAUUUUUUUUUGUCAACGAAUUUUAUAUUUCAUUUUCAUGAUUGUAUCAGGUAUUUAAAAUAAUCUCAGGAUUGUAAACUAUCUGGGACGAUACUGUGCACACUAUCGAAGGGUUUAUUUCCUACUCAAUAAUAUUUAUUCCAUUCACCAGAUAUUGUCAGGUUGUCACUUCCGAUCAGAUACGGGAUUGUCGGCCAAUCUUGUAUUCUACAGUAAUAAUUAGUUUGUACAUGCAUAUUUAGAUCAAAUCACUUCCUUAGUAGAAUAAAUUCAUUACAUAUAUUAGUUUUUUCAUACUGUAAAACCUGCAUUAUCGACAGGAGUGUACUACCAUAGUACGUCGGAUAUUUAGCUAGUGUAUAAAAUUGUAUAUAGGGUUUAUAGGUAUUUUUUUUUAUUAAAUGUGGUUGUACAUA
Diabrotica virgifera virgifera (western corn rootworm) is the source of this 1238-nucleotide long non-coding RNA. RefSeq lists it as uncharacterized. The transcript has 2 exons. The record is from RefSeq and is a predicted model, not a curated record. NCBI's taxonomy places the organism in Eukaryota, Metazoa, Arthropoda, Insecta, Coleoptera, Chrysomelidae.